RNAcentral lists this non-coding RNA (960 nucleotides) under Aphanotorulus emarginatus. Its description in RNAcentral is "partial 12S ribosomal RNA". It matches the Rfam family "Bacterial small subunit ribosomal RNA". The record is from RNAcentral. Lineage: Eukaryota; Metazoa; Chordata; Actinopteri; Siluriformes; Loricariidae.
GUGAGAAUGCCCUCAAUCCCCUGACUUUACUACAAGCUUUAACCCAAUUUAUACAUGCAAGUAUCCGCAUCCCUGUGAGAAUGCCCUCAAUCCCCUGCCCGGGGACGAGGAGCUGGCAUCAGGCACGCAUUUAUAGCCCAAGACGCCUUGCUAAGCCACACCCUCAAGGGAAUUCAGCAGUAAUAAACAUUAAGCCAUAAGUGAAAACUUGACUUAGUCAGGGUUAAAAGGGUCGGUAAAAUUCGUGCCAGCCACCGCGGUUAUACGAAAGACCCUAGUUUAUAGGUACGGCGUAAAGGGUGGUUAGGGGACAAACAAAAUAAAGCCAAAGACCUCCUAAGCCGUCAUACGCUCACGGAAGCACGAAGCCCAAACACGAAAGUAGCUUUACCGAACAUGCCCGACUCCACGAAAGCUGGGGAACAAACUGGGAUUAGAUACCCCACUAUGCCCAGCCCUAAACUUAGAUGAAAUCUUACAAAAUCAUCCGCCAGGGGACUACAAGCACAGCUUAAAACCCAAAGGACUUGGCGGUGCCUCAGACCCACCUAGAGGAGCCUGUUCUAGAACCGAUAAUCCCCGUUAAACCUCACCACCCCUUGUUUUCCCCGCCUAUAUACCGCCGUCGCCAGCUUACCCUGUGAAGGCCUAACAGUAAGCAAAAUGGGUUUGACCCAGAACGUCAGGUCGAGGUGUAGCGCAUGAGGUGGGAAGAAAUGGGCUACAUUUUCUACCACAGAAUAUCACGAAUGGUGUCCUGAAAUAUGACACUUGAAGGAGGAUUUAGUAGUAAAAAGCAAAUAGAGUGUCUUUUUGAAUUAGGCUCUGAGGCGCGCACACACCGCCCGUCACUCUCCCCUUUUCAUUACAACCAACUAAACAUAACUAAUCACACAUAUUAAUCCACGGGGAGGCAAGUCGUAACAUGGUAAGNNNNNNNNNNNNNNNNNNNNNNNNNNN